Molecule: long non-coding RNA, 873 nt
Organism: Diceros bicornis minor
Lineage: Eukaryota; Metazoa; Chordata; Mammalia; Perissodactyla; Rhinocerotidae
Exons: 3
Source: RefSeq, a predicted model, not a curated record
CAAGAAGUGGGUCCUCAUCAGCCACCACAUGGAAUCUGCUGGCUCCAUGAUCUUGGACUCCAGAACUGUGAGAAAUAAAUGUCUGUUGCUUUUAAGCCUCCCAGUCUAUGGUAUUUUGUUAUAGCAGCCUGAAUAGACUAAGACAACCCCCUGUGUGGGCAGGACCUAUGGCUUGUUUCUAAUCAACAGAAUACAGCAAAGAUGGUGGGAUGUCACUUCUGUGAUUACGUUACGUAAGAUAGGCAUUUCCAUCUUGCUUGAAGACUUCUCCCUUUCUGGCUUUGAUGAGGCCAGCUGUCAUGCUGUGAGCUGCCCCGUGGGGAUGUCCACAUGGCAGGAACUGAGGGUAGCCUCCAGCCAAUAGCUAGUAAGAAACUGAGGCCCUCGGUCCAACAUCUCCAAGGAACUGAACGUGCCAACAACCAUGUGAUCUUAGAAGAAGACCUUUCUCCAGUCCAGCCUUGAGAUGAGACUGCAGCCCCAGCCAACACCCUGACUACAGCUUUCUGAGAGACCCUGAAGCAGAGGACCCAGCAACUCACCGAAGGUCAGCAAGAACUGAACAACACAGUUCAAUAUCCCAACAUUUUUCUACCCAGUCGCCUAAAUCACCCCUUCCAACGUUGUUUGAUUUUUUAACAUGGGAAUGCUUUGAGCAUGUUUAAAUAAUGAAUAAGAUCCAGAAGAGCAGAAAAGAUUGAAGGUACCGUGUUGUGGCAGAAAUAAAUAUGAAUGAGACGUGCACUGUCCUGAAGGAGCUCACAGAUUAGUGGCGAGAUAAACACGGAGAACUUCUAGCCCCUGAUCCUGUGAUAAGGGAAGUACCUUCAAGGAGACAUAGACUCCAGACCAGCAUCUGACAACCACUGAUGA